ACACAGCAAACCCUCAACGUUUCUGCUCAACUGAGCAAUUUGCUGAUUUCUUAACUGCAAGAAUUGAAACCCCAGUGGAGCUUGAGCUCUGCAGCUCUUCAGGCAGACAUUCAGAGGAGCUCCUGCACAAACACAGAUCCAUCAGGCGGCGACUGCAGGAGAGAUAAAUGAAGAGCACGGAGGAUUCAGAGGGAUGCCGGAGAGCUGCGCGAAGGCACGAAAUCCAUUCUCACCCAGGAAACCUUUUACAGCAGAUAAAGCUUUGACCUGCUGUCAGAUCAGGCUCUAAGAAUAACGCUGUGCUGUUUCAUCAGUCAGCAGCAACUCUGUCAAGGAGCUGACGCCGACUGGCUUGGCAGCUACGCUGCCGAGGCAGACGUCAUGAAACGGGCGGUACCCCCAAAGAGCGAAAGGCGGAGCCUCAGAGAUCGAGUCGUCUUACUUCCUGGAAACACUGCCAUGGCGGAUGGUCCAGACCGCAUCCCACCUUUGCCCUUCAGUAACUGGGAUAGGCUCCAGCAUCGCUUUGAUCCUGAAUAACAACAACAACAACAAGAAAAAAAGGAGACAAAAACCCGCCUGACCUGUGGUUCUCGUCUGGGGUUUGUUCCUGAUUCGCUUGAGGCAAAGACUUGCAGAAAAGCCUCGGGCAGAGCAGAGCCGUCCCACGCUGUCAGAGGCGGGAGACAUGCCGGCGUCUGUCCGCAGAAUGGCGGGAAAUUCCCCCACCACUCUCUGCUGCAAGAAAUAAAACACAACAGGUGGAUACGGGCCGUCUGCGGAUGAAAAGACGAAAUAUCAAAGCACAACAAAGGAACAUUCCAACCUUCAUGAUGUCCACAGAAGUGGAACGAUCCUCAAGAACCUGCACCCCCACUGAAGCCCCAAUCCAAAUCUCCCACUCCCAUCCUCUUCUGAUCUAUUCUCAAAGCGUUCCCGUUGGUCUUUUAAUGACGACGAUACAGUUUUUAGCCAAAAUCCCCAAAAACCUGAACUGUUUUCUAGGACUUAGUUUCUGCAGAGCGGCAGGAGUCACCUUUGAGUCGUGGGCGGGACCGUUGGUGCGGAGCAACCCUGUCUCCAUUCUCCUCCCCGUUGCUGAGAGCUCUCUGUUUACACUCCCCACCGCACACGGAUCCAUUUAUCUGCGUUAGAAUGGGGGCGGAGUUUGUGGCAUAUUUUCAACGUCGUGAAUCUUUUAUAAAAAAAUCAUUUUUUAAUCUUUAUGCAUUUUUUCAUUCCUGAACUUUUCCUGCUUAACUGCAGAUUUUCAGUUUCCCUCAAAUCCAAAGAACCUAAAAUAAAGUAGAGGAUUCUUGUCCUGGGAGCUUCUUCUGAUAAAAAACAUUCCUUUAUUUGAACACUUUUGUUAAUAUUAACUUCAAAAUGAGUUUUUUAAAAAUUAUUAUUCAUGUAUUUUUUUCACCCUUUGAUUUUUCUUCUUCUUUUUUUAAACAUUUCAUCACAGCAUCAAGUGGAAUUUUCUCUGGAUCUGUUUGGAGAAGGGAGGCAGAGAACAAACUGCAAAUACUGAAAAUAUAUCAAAGUUGGUUGUUGGAUCGCCGUUUAUGAUCAGUGGAACAAAUUCUCAUCCUGGGUGUUUUACUGCUGUUGUUCUUCUUGUUUGUCAGUGUGAGCAUCGCACGUCUGCAUCAUGCUGGCGGUAAAUUAUGGGAUGGGUCUGAACUGCACGGAGCGUUGUGACGUCUUCAUACCUGUCUGCUCUCCAGAAAACAACAACAACCACCACCGACAAUCAAGCGACGAGUCUAAUUAGAGCCGCAAAGUGCAAACAAUGGCGCCAAGAGGCUCCUGGUAUUCAGCCAGCUGAUUCCUCCAGCUGUCUGUCAUCUCUGCUGCCAUGACGACACAUCAGAACGCAGAGCGGACAUCUGAGAGACGAAGACGUGUCCUGAACGUUCCAGCGGGCAAAGGUGACGACCAAUUAAAUGUUUGGAAAUGACUGGAAGUUUCUGCCUCAACGUGACCAACAGUGACCCCCCCCCCGUGAGAUUUCUGAAUCUGAAUCUCUGACCGUCACAAACAUCAGAGGAACAUUUUCCUGCAAAACAAAGAGAACUUUUCCUCUUAGCUGUUUUGUUUUUGUCCACAUUACAAGUGUUGGAUCGCACAUCUUUGUGUGUGUUUCUGUGUGUGUUCAUGUGUGUGUGUGUGCGCUCCAGCUCCCCUGCUGACAGCGUGUGGGUGAAACAUGGCAGUUGUGCAUAUUGUCUGUUAUGUCACACAGACACACACUAUCGCACAUAUUCGCCUUGCACUGUCAAUGCCCGGCUAUCUUGUGUGAACAGGUCGCCAGCGCCGCCGCAGCGCUGUGUCAUGCUCGGUCGCCUUGGAGACGCCUCCAGAUCAUCAUUUAGCACGGACGGGGUGAAGAGGGUUCCUGCGCGUGUCCCGCUCGGGUUUUGGUUAAAUGAGAGCGCGGCUUUGGAGUGUAAAUUGGAGGUUAUCCGGUGGACGUUCUCUUAACUCUUCUCUUGGCUCUAACAAUGUGUGAAUUUGCUUUUUUGUGAGAACUUUUCCUCCUCAUUAGUUGGUGAGUCUGUGUUCAGGAUGCAAUUGAAGACCAUUCAUUGUCAAGCACCAACAUUAAAAGACAAAAUAGGGAAAA
This is an RNA transcript of Oryzias latipes (Japanese medaka), 2629 nucleotides long. RefSeq lists it as uncharacterized. The record is from RefSeq and is a predicted model, not a curated record. NCBI's taxonomy places the organism in Eukaryota, Metazoa, Chordata, Actinopteri, Beloniformes, Adrianichthyidae.